GUGAGUCAUCGAAUCUUUGAACGCAUAUUGCGCUCGAGCCCUCGGGCAAGAGCAUGUCUGCCUCAGCGUCGGUUUACACCCUCACCCCUCCCAACUUGUUGGGUGUGCUUGCUGUUUUUGCAAGCCACUGGGGUGGAUCUGGCUUCCCCAAUCAGCCAUUACAGGCAGAUUGGGUUGGCUGAAGUGCAGAGGCGUAAGCAAGGACCCAAUAUGGGCUUCAACUGGAUAGGUAGCCCCGGCUUUUGCCGACUACACGAAGUUGUUGCUUGUGCACCUUGCUAGAAGCCAAGCAGGAACGUG
RNAcentral lists this unclassified non-coding RNA (300 nucleotides) under uncultured fungus. RNAcentral describes it as "sequence contains 5.8S rRNA gene, ITS2". The stretch from base 1 to 71 matches the Rfam family "5.8S ribosomal RNA", at positions 84 to 154 of the family's 154-position model. The record is from RNAcentral. Lineage: Eukaryota; Fungi.